RNAcentral lists this ribosomal RNA (253 nucleotides) under uncultured bacterium. RNAcentral describes it as "partial 16S ribosomal RNA". It matches the Rfam family "Bacterial small subunit ribosomal RNA", at positions 524 to 776 of the family's 1533-position model. The record is from RNAcentral.
UACGUAGGUGGCAAGCGUUGUCCGGAUUUACUGGGCGUAAAGGGCUCGUAGGCGGCCAACUAAGUCGGACGUGAAAUCCCUCGGCUUAACCGGGGAACUGCGUCCGAUACUGGAUGGCUUGAGUUUGGGAGAGGGAUGCGGAAUUCCAGGUGUAGCGGUGAAAUGCGUAGAUAUCUGGAGGAACACCGGUGGCGAAGGCGGCAUCCUGGACCAACACUGACGCUGAUGAGCGAAAGCCAGGGGAGCAAACGGG